This 401-nucleotide ribosomal RNA is filed under the name Bacillus subtilis. RNAcentral's name for it is "partial 16S ribosomal RNA". It matches the Rfam family "Bacterial small subunit ribosomal RNA", at positions 529 to 919 of the family's 1533-position model. The record is from RNAcentral. Lineage: Bacteria; Bacillati; Bacillota; Bacilli; Caryophanales; Bacillaceae.
GGGGGGGGGGGUUGGUCCGGAAUUAUUGGGGCGUAAAGGGCUCGCAGGCGGUUUCUUAAGUCUGAUGUGAAAGCCCCCGGCUCAACCGGGGAGGGUCAUUGGAAACUGGGGAACUUGAGUGCAGAAAGAGGAGAAGUGGAAAUUCCAACGUGUAGCGGUGAAAAUGCGUAGAGAAUGUGGAGGAACACCAGUGGCGAAGGCGACUACUCUGGUCUGUAACUGACGCUGAGGAGCGAAAGCGUGGGGAGCGAACAGGAUUAGAUACCCUGGUAGUCCACGCCGUAAACGAUGAGUGCUAAGUGUUAGGGGGUUUCCGCCCCUUAGUGCUGCAGCUAACGCAUUAAGCACUCCGCCUGGGGAGUACGGUCGCAAGACUGAAACUCAAGAAAAUUUGACGGAAG